RNAcentral lists this ribosomal RNA (1644 nucleotides) under Escherichia albertii. Its description in RNAcentral is "partial 23S ribosomal RNA". It matches the Rfam family "Bacterial large subunit ribosomal RNA", at positions 1291 to 2915 of the family's 2925-position model. Lineage: Bacteria; Pseudomonadati; Pseudomonadota; Gammaproteobacteria; Enterobacterales; Enterobacteriaceae. The record is from RNAcentral.
CGAAUGCUGACAUAAGUAACGAUAAAGCGGGUGAAAAGCCCGCUCGCCGGAAGACCAAGGGUUCCUGUCCAACGUUAAUCGGGGCAGGGUGAGUCGACCCCUAAGGCGAGGCCGAAAGGCGUAGUCGAUGGGAAACAGGUUAAUAUUCCUGUACUUGGUGUUACUGCGAAGGGGGGACGGAGAAGGCUAUGUUGGCCGGGCGACGGUUGUCCCGGUUUAAGCGUGUAGGCUGGUUUUCCAGGCAAAUCCGGAGAAUCAAGGCUGAGGCGUGAUGACGAGGCACUACGGUGCUGAAGCAACAAAUGCCCUGCUUCCAGGAAAAGCCUCUAAGCAUCAGGUAACAUCAAAUCGUACCCCAAACCGACACAGGUGGUCAGGUAGAGAAUACCAAGGCGCUUGAGAGAACUCGGGUGAAGGAACUAGGCAAAAUGGUGCCGUAACUUCGGGAGAAGGCACGCUGAUAUGUAGGUGAAGCGACUUGCUCGUGGAGCUGAAAUCAGUCGAAGAUACCAGCUGGCUGCAACUGUUUAUUAAAAACACAGCACUGUGCAAACACGAAAGUGGACGUAUACGGUGUGACGCCUGCCCGGUGCCGGAAGGUUAAUUGAUGGGGUCAGCGCAAGCGAAGCUCUUGAUCGAAGCCCCGGUAAACGGCGGCCGUAACUAUAACGGUCCUAAGGUAGCGAAAUUCCUUGUCGGGUAAGUUCCGACCUGCACGAAUGGCGUAAUGAUGGCCAGGCUGUCUCCACCCGAGACUCAGUGAAAUUGAACUCGCUGUGAAGAUGCAGUGUACCCGCGGCAAGACGGAAAGACCCCGUGAACCUUUACUAUAGCUUGACACUGAACACUGGUCCUUGAUGUGUAGGAUAGGUGGGAGGCUUUGAAGUGUGGACGCCAGUCUGCAUGGAGCCGUCCUUGAAAUACCACCCUUUAAUGGCUGGUGUUCUAACGUGGGCCCGUAAUCCGGGUUGCGGACAGUGUCUGGUGGGUAGUUUGACUGGGGCGGUCUCCUCCUAAAGAGUAACGGAGGAGCACGAAGGUUGGCUAAUCCUGGUCGGACAUCAGGAGGUUAGUGCAAUGGCAUAAGCCAGCUUGACUGCGAGCGUGACGGCGCGAGCAGGUGCGAAAGCAGGUCAUAGUGAUCCGGUGGUUCUGAAUGGAAGGGCCAUCGCUCAACGGAUAAAAGGUACUCCGGGGAUAACAGGCUGAUACCGCCCAAGAGUUCAUAUCGACGGCGGUGUUUGGCACCUCGAUGUCGGCUCAUCACAUCCUGGGGCUGAAGUAGGUCCCAAGGGUAUGGCUGUUCGCCAUUUAAAGUGGUACGCGAGCUGGGUUUAGAACGUCGUGAGACAGUUCGGUCCCUAUCUGCCGUGGGCGCUGGAGAACUGAGGGGGGCUGCUCCUAGUACGAGAGGACCGGAGUGGACGCAUCACUGGUGUUCGGGUUGUCAUGCCAAUGGCACUGCCCGGUAGCUAAAUGCGGAAGAGAUAAGUGCUGAAAGCAUCUAAGCACGAAACUUGCCCCGAGAUGAGUUCUCCCUGAGACUUAGAGUCUCCUGAAGGAACGUUGAAGACGACGACGUUGAUAGGCCGGGUGUGUAAGCGCAGCGAUGCGUUGAGCUAACCGGUACUAAUGAACCGUGAG